RNAcentral lists this ribosomal RNA (513 nucleotides) under uncultured bacterium. Its description in RNAcentral is "partial 16S ribosomal RNA". It matches the Rfam family "Bacterial small subunit ribosomal RNA", at positions 28 to 507 of the family's 1533-position model. The record is from RNAcentral.
GACGAACGCUGGCGGCGUGCUUAACACAUGCAAGUCGAACGAAAAGAGGGAAAGAGCUUGCUCUUUCCGGAAUUGAGUGGCAAACGGGUGAGUAACACGUAAACAACCUGCCUUCAGGAUGGGGACAACAGACGGAAACGACUGCUAAUACCGAAUAAGUUCCAAGAGCCGCAUGGCCCAUGGAAGAAAAUGUGGCCCCUACCUGUAAGCUAUCGCCUGAAGAGGGGUUUGCGUCUGAUUAGCUGGUUGGGGGGGUAACGGCCCACCAAGGCGACGAUCAGUAGCCGGACUGAGAGGAUGAACGGCCACACUGGGACUGAGACACGGGCCAGACUCCUACGGGAGGGAGCAGUGGGGAAUCUUCCGCAAAGGGCGGAAGCCUGACGGAGCAACGCCGCGUGAGGGAUGACGGCCUUCGGGUUGUAAAACUCUGUGAUCCGGGACGAAAAGGCAGAGUGCGAAGAACAAACUGCAUUGACGGUACCGGAAAAGCAAGCCACGGCUAACUACGUG